CCUACGGGAGGCAGCAGUGAGGAAUAUUGGUCAAUGGCCGGAAGGCUGAACCAGCCAUGCCGCGUGAAGGUCAGUGCCCUAUGGGCGUUAAACUUCUUUUGUGCGGGAGCAAUAAUGGUCACGUGUGGCCAGACGAGAGUACCGUACGAAUAAGCAUCGGCUAACUCCGUGCCAGCAGCCGCGGUAAUACGGGGGAUGCAAGCGUUAUCCGGAUUUAUUGGGGUUAAAGGGUGCGUAGGCUGUGAGGUAAGUCAGCGGUGAAAUGCCCCCGCUCAACGGGGUGAAGUGCCAUUGAUACUGCCUUGCUGGAAUGCGGAUGCCGUGGGAGGAAUGUGUGGUGUAGCGGUGAAAUGCAUAGAUAUCACACAGAACACCGAUUGCGAAGGCAUCUCACGAAUCCGCGAUUGACGCUGAUGCACGAAAGCGUGGGGAUCGAACAGGAUUAGAUACCCCGGUAGUC
Molecule: ribosomal RNA, 460 nt
Filed under: uncultured bacterium
Lineage: Bacteria
Description: partial 16S ribosomal RNA
Rfam family: Bacterial small subunit ribosomal RNA
Source: RNAcentral